UCAUAAAUUAUAUUAUUUAUAAAAUCACAAAAUAACACCUUUAAACUUAAGUUAUUAUCAUUCGAUAUUAAUUAAUACGUUUAGAAAAUGUUUGUUUAAACAAAAGGUGUUGUCAUCGCAAAUACAAGUAACGUCUGAUAAAAUUAGUAAGUUUGUAACUGUAUAUAUCUUGUGCAUGCACGCACAUUAGCAUAUUAGCAAUGACAUCAGUUUCCUUUUUCGAUAUAGCGCAACAUACAUGCACGCAUAUAUAUGUAUCGCGCGCCGCCGCACUUCAUCGAUGUUGCGUGUGUGACCCGCUUUUUUCUCUUAUGUUAAACUCAAGGUAGAGCUAGGGGUUGCGCAUGACCAUGAGUAAAGAGAAAUUUUCACAAAUCAAUAUUGCGACCAGCUGUAGCGAUGAGUAAAGUCACGCAGCUUAAAAAUCUUGUUGUUACUCCAUCCGCCUAUAGGCAACUCGUUGGAACUACUUCCGCUGUCCUCGCCUUGCCCUUUCUCCAGUGGCGCUCUUGCUCGCAGCAACCUUUCAUAGUCGCAUGACUCAUGAAAGGAAUCACGAUACAUGCUCUGACGGUUUGACUACAUUUCCGCCCCCCAUUACAGUUUGCAAAGGCAGCGGAAAAAGGGAAAGAUGAAGGAGGACAACGAAAGAAGAGAGUAUGCAAUUGUUGGAGGGUCUCGUCGGGAUUGCUGCGAUAGCGAAGAUGGAAAGAAUGCUUCUCGUGCCAACGGCGGUAACCACGGAUAGUGGAGAAAAGUGGAGAUCUUUCCAGCGAGAGGCGAGAAACUUACAGAAACAGGCGCAAUUUCUUACUACCACGAACACAAAAGUGUAUAUACAUUUCAAUGCACUGCGAAGCAAGGAAACGUCAAGCGGCAUUGUGCCGUCACGUGCGACCACUUGCCGUUCCAUAAAGUGUUAUCCCACUGAUGCUUCUUUCUUAAUAUAGUAAUAUAUAACACUCGAAUUUUAAGUAUUUACAAUCGCAGUAGCAUUUAUCAAACUCUUGCAAAUAUAUAUCUUAUAUUAUAAAAUAUCGAAAAAUAUUCUUACAAAACUAGAGGAUAAAAGCUAUACAAUAUAAUAAAAAUAUAAACAUAUUUUAUUUUUAUUAGUAUAUUACAUCUAUACAUAGUUAAACAAUAAGGUAUAUAGCAAAUACUUUUGCAUCUUGAUUUGAAUUAUAAAAACAAAUGAAAACAUCCUUUCCUACUGCUUGUACAUGCAUGUGUGUGCGCGCGCGCGCGCGUGAUGUACGUGUAAGAACUUUUCCAAGUGCUAUUUACAAAUAUUUAUAAUCUUGCCACAUUCCAUCUUAUUCACAAUCUAAUUCCGAUUUUCAACAGUUAGUCUAUUAUAUUUUUUUAAAUUAAAUAUUACAUGUGUCUCUGCAAAUAAAAUAUUAUUUAUA
Ooceraea biroi (clonal raider ant) is the source of this 1412-nucleotide long non-coding RNA. RefSeq lists it as uncharacterized. The record is from RefSeq and is a predicted model, not a curated record. Lineage: Eukaryota; Metazoa; Arthropoda; Insecta; Hymenoptera; Formicidae.